GGCUUUGUGGUGUAACGGUAGCACACUCGGCGUGUAUUCGAGAGGCCCAGGUUCGAGUCCCGGCGAAGGCA
RNAcentral lists this transfer RNA (71 nucleotides) under Stegodyphus mimosarum. It matches the Rfam family "tRNA". From Rfam's summary of the family: Transfer RNA (tRNA) molecules are approximately 80 nucleotides in length. Lineage: Eukaryota; Metazoa; Arthropoda; Arachnida; Araneae; Eresidae. The record is from Rfam by way of RNAcentral.